This 602-nucleotide ribosomal RNA is filed under the name uncultured bacterium. Its description in RNAcentral is "bacterial SSU rRNA". It matches the Rfam family "Bacterial small subunit ribosomal RNA", at positions 335 to 929 of the family's 1533-position model. The record is from RNAcentral.
CCUCCUACGGGAGGCAGCAGUAGGGAAUCUUCGGCAAUGGACGAAAGUCUGACCGAGCAACGCCGCGUGAGUGAAGAAGGUUUUCGGAUCGUAAAACUCUGUUGGUAGAGAAGAACGUUGGUGAGAGUGGAAAGCUCAUCAAGUGACGGUAACUACCCAGAAAGGGACGGCUAACUACGUGCCAGCAGCCGCGGUAAUACGUAGGUCCCGAGCGUUGUCCGGAUUUAUUGGGCGUAAAGCGAGCGCAGGUGGUUUAUUAAGUCUGGUGUAAAAGGCAGUGGCUCAACCAUUGUAUGCAUUGGAAACUGGUAGACUUGAGUGCAGGAGAGGAGAGUGGAAUUCCAUGUGUAGCGGUGAAAUGCGUAGAUAUAUGGAGGAACACCGGUGGCGAAAGCGGCUCUCUGGCCUGUAACUGACACUGAGGCUCGAAAGCGUGGGGAGCAAACAGGAUUAGAUACCCUGGUAGUCCACGCCGUAAACGAUGAGUGCUAGAUGUAGGGAGCUAUAAGUUCUCUGUAUCGCAGCUAACGCAAUAAGCACUCCGCCUGGGGAGUACGACCGCAAGGUUGAAACUCAAAGGAAUUGACGGGGGCCCGCACAAG